This 245-nucleotide long non-coding RNA is filed under the name Elaeis guineensis (African oil palm). RNAcentral's name for it is "long non-coding RNA (EGUI_LNC000603)". The record is from RNAcentral. Lineage: Eukaryota; Viridiplantae; Streptophyta; Magnoliopsida; Arecales; Arecaceae.
AGAGGACAGGAUGACGUCAACAAAAUCUACUGGGAAGAUCUCUGACUCAGUCAUGGCCAGUUUGUGGUUGGAUUCUCGGUUGGGCCUCAGCAUGUUUGUAGUAAGUAAUUUUAAGAGGUCAAGCCUUUUUUUUCAAUUGAAAGAUGGCACCGCGGCGGGAGAGAGUGGGUGUGGAUGUACUCCGGGGGGCGCUGCAUUGAAGGCCGCAUGUGAAACGAUCAAGAGGGCGGAGGAGGAAAGAGAUU